AAGUACGUAAUUAAAUACCCUCAUAUAUCCAUGGGAAUAGGGCCCAUAAGUUUCUACCCAGUUACCGUAAAUGACUGGACUAUGAGGGAAAGUAGCGCAGGG
Molecule: non-coding RNA, 102 nt
Filed under: Bacillus coahuilensis
Lineage: Bacteria; Bacillati; Bacillota; Bacilli; Caryophanales; Bacillaceae
Also listed under: 1 other name
Description: Guanine sequence
Rfam family: Purine riboswitch aptamer
About the family: Riboswitches are metabolite binding domains within certain messenger RNAs that serve as precision sensors for their corresponding targets. Allosteric rearrangement of mRNA structure is mediated by ligand binding, and this results in modulation of gene expression. A class of riboswitches that selectively recognises guanine and becomes saturated at concentrations as low as 5 nM.
Source: RNAcentral